Molecule: non-coding RNA, 208 nt
Organism: Cinara cedri
Lineage: Eukaryota; Metazoa; Arthropoda; Insecta; Hemiptera; Aphididae
Source: the annotation of a GenBank genome assembly
UGCUCUUCUUCCGAAAACAAAAAAUCCUACUCGAGCACUCCAAAAUUUCAACUAAACAAUUAACUGUAAUAUGCUGUAAAAUACAAUGAAAUAUAAUAAUAUAUAUAGUUAUAUGCCGUAACUAAAAACCAAAAUGCAAGACGUCGCAUCUAUUUCGUUAAACAAUUCGGUGACAAUCUUUAUUUUUUCCACCUGCGGUUAAAUAAUG